Molecule: non-coding RNA, 45 nt
Filed under: Xyrichtys novacula (pearly razorfish)
Lineage: Eukaryota; Metazoa; Chordata; Actinopteri; Labriformes; Labridae
Rfam family: Histone 3' UTR stem-loop
About the family: The mRNAs of metazoan histone genes lack a poly-A tail. 3' end processing occurs at a site between a highly conserved stem-loop (modelled by this family) and a purine rich region around 20 nts downstream (the histone downstream element, or HDE).
Source: RNAcentral
AAAACGGCUCUUUUAAGAGCCACCCACAUGUUAAACUAUGAGCUG